This 839-nucleotide long non-coding RNA is filed under the name Gallus gallus (chicken). RNAcentral describes it as "lncRNA (ENSGALG00010016248.1)". Lineage: Eukaryota; Metazoa; Chordata; Aves; Galliformes; Phasianidae. The record is from RNAcentral.
AAUCUGAGCAGUUAGGUAAAAUGAGGAAAGGAAAAAGAUAGGGAAUAAGACUAAAUUUUCCUUAUCCAUUUAAAAACACACAGUGAGAGCAAUCACUUGUCCAGUGCCAAGACUACAAUCAAGAUUAAAACUGGAACUGAUGGAGUUAGUAUGUGGGAGGGAGAGUGGAAAGUGACCUGUUUUGUUUGUGGAAGCUCUGGAAUCCCACAGGAGAAGGAUCGCUCAGCACCAUGGCCAUUUGCCAAGUACAACUUGUUCUGAAACACAGUGGUUCUGAGAAGUUGCAUUAUCAACUGAAGCACAAUGUCAGCGUAGCAGGAGGAAUUUAAGUUAUUUCUCUGAAGAAGAGAGCAGGUUGUGUACAUAUAUGAAGUAGUUUGCAAAUAUGAGAAAAAAAAUUUACAUUCUGCUCAAGUUCCUGUAGUGUCACUGAUGUUCUAGGCACUAAAAGUGAGGGGUGACCCUCUGUCUGUAUGUCUGCACUUUCUGUCUGACUGGGGACAGAGGAGAAGUAAGAUGGCAGAUGAUUCCUCCCCUCCCAUGAACGGAUGGGAUCUUAUUGUGUUGCCAAGUAGGUUCCUCCAAAGUGGUUCAUGCCUUCUGCAAUAUGAUUUUCACUGGGACUUUGACUCCUGGCAGUCAAGUAUUCCCACUAACAUACCCCGAAACUUGUUCUCAGGCAGUUUCAUCUUUGAUAUAAUUCCUGAUGUGAACCGAACUGGAAAAAAUAAAAUAAAAUGAAUAUGCUAAUAAUCCUGCUAUUUCCUGUUGGACUUCGUCUUACCAUUAAUUGCUACGGUUGUUUAUAAGGCCUGCUGGGUUUGUUGGUUUUAUUUGAA